GGGUGUGACUGCGUACCUUUUGUAUAAUGGGUCAGCGACUUAUAUUCUGUAGCAAGGUUAACCGUAUAGGGGAGCCGCAGGGAAACCGAGUCUUAACUGGGCGUUAAGUUGCAGGGUAUAGACCCGAAACCCGGUGAUCUAGCCAUGGGCAGGUUGAAGGUUGGGUAACACUAACUGGAGGACCGAACCGACUAAUGUUGAAAAAUUAGCGGAUGACUUGUGGCUGGGGGUGAAAGGCCAAUCAAACCGGGAGAUAGCUGGUUCUCCCCGAAAGCUAUUUAGGUAGCGCCUCGUGAACUCAUCUUCGGGGGUAGAGCACUGUUUCGGCUAGGGGGUCAUCCCGACUUACCAACCCGAUGCAAACUACGAAUACCGAAGAAUGUUAUCACGGGAGACACACGGCGGGUGCUAACGUCCGUCGUGAAGAGGGAAACAACCCAGACCGCCAGCUAAGGUCCCAAAGUCAUGGUUAAGUGGGAAACGAUGUGGGAAGGCACAGACAGCCAGGAUGUUGGCUUAGAAGCAGCCAUCAUUUAAAGAAAGCGUAAUAGCUCACUGGUCGAGUCGGCCUGCGCGGAAGAUGUAACGGGGCUAAACCAUG
RNAcentral lists this ribosomal RNA (601 nucleotides) under Klebsiella quasipneumoniae. RNAcentral's name for it is "partial 23S ribosomal RNA". It matches the Rfam family "Bacterial large subunit ribosomal RNA", at positions 589 to 1191 of the family's 2925-position model. RNAcentral also lists the same sequence under 2 other names. The record is from RNAcentral. Lineage: Bacteria; Pseudomonadati; Pseudomonadota; Gammaproteobacteria; Enterobacterales; Enterobacteriaceae.